RNAcentral lists this ribosomal RNA (253 nucleotides) under uncultured bacterium. RNAcentral's name for it is "partial 16S ribosomal RNA". It matches the Rfam family "Bacterial small subunit ribosomal RNA", at positions 524 to 776 of the family's 1533-position model. The record is from RNAcentral.
GACGUAGGGCGCAAGCGUUGUCCGGAUUUAUUGGGCGUAAAGAGCUCGUAGGCGGCUUGUUGCGUCGUCCGUGAAAACCUGUGGCUCAACUACAGGCUUGCGGUCGAUACGGGCGGGCUGGAGUUCGGUAGGGGAGACUGGAAUUCCUGGUGUAGCGGUGAAAUGCGCAGAUAUACAGGAGGAACACCGGUGGCGAAGGCGGGUCUCUGGGCCGAUACUGACGUGAGGAGCGAAAGCGUGGGGAGCGAACAGG